UCCCAGACUCCUACGGGAGGCAGCAGUGGGGAAUAUUGCACAAUGGGGGGAACCCUGAUGCAGCGACGCCGCGUGAAGGAAGAAGUAUCUCGGUAUGUAAACUUCUAUCAGCAGGGAAGAAAGAGGACGGUACCUGACUAAGAAGCCCCGGCUAACUACGUGCCAGCAGCCGCGGUAAUACGUAGGGGGCGAGCGUUAUCCGGAUUUACUGGGUGUAAAGGGAGCGUAGACGGCGACGCAAGUCUGAAGUGAAAUGCCAGUGCUCAACACUGGAACUGCUUUGGAAACUGUGUGGCUAGAGUGCAGGAGAGGUAAGUGGAAUUCCUAGUGUAGCGGUGAAAUGCGUAGAUAUUAGGAGGAACACCAGUGGCGAAGGCGGCUUACUGGACUGUAACUGACGUUGAGGCUCGAAAGCGUGGGGAGCAAACAGGAUUAGAUACCCGAGUAA
This 448-nucleotide ribosomal RNA is filed under the name uncultured bacterium. RNAcentral describes it as "bacterial SSU rRNA". It matches the Rfam family "Bacterial small subunit ribosomal RNA", at positions 329 to 793 of the family's 1533-position model. The record is from RNAcentral.